GUGGAAAAAGUCCAUUUUCCGUGUAGGAGACCUCAAGCCCCCCAAAUCUUCGAUAUCAUCUCGUAAACCCUAGAAAUACACGAUCAAAAUCGAUUUCAUAUCUCCCGUAAAUCCUAGAAAUUCGUAAUCAAAAUCGCAAUGUUAGACCAAAUACCGUUGGAAAUCCAAUCGGAAAUAAUGAAAAGGCUCCCUGUGAAAUCGUUAAUUCAAUUCCGAUCGGUCUGCAAGUCAUGGAAUUCUCUGAUCGAGAGCCCUGAUUUCAUUGCACAUUACAGCAGCCAACAGCAACAUCUGCUUGUAAGUUAUACAGUUAACUAUGAGGCUAAAUAUGUUACAGUUGAUGAUGAUGAAAACAUAGUUUCCGUUACUCUUCCCCCGUUGGUUAACAAACUCAGAACCAUAGUUGGCAGCUCUCACGGCUUGUUGUGUUUCUUCGGUGAUGUUCAAGAGCUCACUGAAAUCGGCAGUGCGGUUAUUUGGAAUCCUUGUAUUAGAAAAGCAGUUCAUGUUGUUGUGCCUCGUGUCAAAUUAGAUAAAACAUAUAGAACACUUCUAGGGUUUGGGGUUUGUCCUGAGACUUUUGACCCUAAGAUUGUCAAGAUUACACAUCGUGUAGAUAUGGAAAGUGUAACUUUCAUCCCUUGGCAGGUUGAGGUGUUUACAUUAAACACACGAGCGUGGAGAAGUCCUUAUAGCAGUAAUCUCCCUCGUAAAUCGAUUUAUGUUGACUCGGAUCAGGUAGUUGUAGAUGGGUGUCUUUAUUGGCUUGCUACUGAUAGAAUUGCCUUGGAUGAUGGUACAUUUAGGUCUUAUAAUUUGAUUGUUUCAUUUGAUCUAAUAACUGAAGAAUUUAGAGAAGUAAACCUUCCGGGUAGACUAGCUGGCACUUCGUGUCGUUUUUCAAUGUAUAAGCUAGGAGAGUCAAUUGCGGUGCUUGAACUCGGUGUAGAGGCCAACAAACUAGUUUAUCGUGUAUGGAUGAUGGAGGACGGUGUUACAAAAUCGUUUUACAAUCUCUUUAGUUUUAAUAGCCACUCACGAGACCCAGACGUAUCAAUAAUUUGUGUAUGUGGAUUUAGGAAGACAGAUGAAGCUUUAAUUGAAUUAUAUGAUCGUCCUAGCUCUACUAGAAUACUUGCUGCUUAUGAUCCCUACUCUGAAACUAUUAAUGAUAUAUUGAUUUAUGGAAGACAUUCUUCAUAUUCUGUGUAUUACUGCAUGGAAACACUACUUCUGCUUUGAUCAACUGAUUUUUACUUUUGCUUUUGAAGCAUAAAAGCAAGGUGUGUGCAGGACAUGAUGUAGGCUAGGCCGAGUUCCGCGUAGGCUACAUCGGGUAAGGUUUCCCCGUUUAGUGGAGUUGAAGUAGAUCUCGGGUAAGAUCUAGCAAAGCUUUGGAGCAAUACCCGGAGAGGAUUAACAUCGUUUGGUUAAAGCUUUUGUUUAGUAUUGAUUGGGCCCAACUCAUAAUAUGAAGUUAAACCAACUCAUAGUCAUAUGUUCAGUGCACGUUGUUAAUGCUCUUUGGAAGUGUUUUAAAGUUUUGGGUGUAACAGAUGCACCUAGAGCAUAUGGUAUUUUGUUUGAUUAAAAAGGCAUUUGAAUGAAACAUAUGAAAAUACUAGAAUUUUCACUAUCAAGAUCACGUGUGUAUAGCCGUUGAUUUUUAUGUCUAGUGUUAAUGUGGUGAGGUUAACACCUUAAUCAUUUGAUGAAUGUGGUGAUUUUGUGGUUCAAAA
RNA transcript from Helianthus annuus (common sunflower), 1739 nucleotides. It is a transcript of the gene named F-box/kelch-repeat protein At3g23880, with no coding region annotated. The transcript has 3 exons. Lineage: Eukaryota; Viridiplantae; Streptophyta; Magnoliopsida; Asterales; Asteraceae. The record is from RefSeq and is a predicted model, not a curated record.